GGGGAAUUUUGGACAAUGGGCGCAAGCCUGAUCCAGCAAUGCCGCGUGUGUGAAGAAGGCCUUCGGGUUGUAAAGCACUUUUGUCCGGAAAGAAAACGUCGUGGUUAAUACCCGUGGCGGAUGACGGUACCGGAAGAAUAAGCACCGGCUAACUACGUGCCAGCAGCCGCGGUAAUACGUAGGGUGCAAGCGUUAAUCGGAAUUACUGGGCGUAAAGCGUGCGCAGGCGGUCCGCUAAGACAGAUGUGAAAUCCCCGGGCUUAACCUGGGAACUGCAUUUGUGACUGGCGGGCUAGAGUAUGGCAGAGGGGGGUAGAAUUCCACGUGUAGCAGUGAAAUGCGUAGAGAUGUGGAGGAAUACCGAUGGCGAAGGCAGCCCCCUGGGCCAAUACUGACGCUCAUGCACGAAAGCGUGGGGAGCAAAC
This 425-nucleotide ribosomal RNA is filed under the name uncultured bacterium. RNAcentral's name for it is "bacterial SSU rRNA". It matches the Rfam family "Bacterial small subunit ribosomal RNA", at positions 356 to 773 of the family's 1533-position model. The record is from RNAcentral.